RNAcentral lists this non-coding RNA (23 nucleotides) under Arabidopsis thaliana (thale cress). The record is from RNAcentral. Lineage: Eukaryota; Viridiplantae; Streptophyta; Magnoliopsida; Brassicales; Brassicaceae.
CCACUACACACCACUACCAUGAG